CAAUCGUGCAUGUUUUGGAUUGUUGCGUGGACACCAGUGGUGUAAUACAGUGGGAUGUCCCUCAGUUCUCUUGGCUGGUAGACGGCGUUCCAGUAACCAAUCAAGCAGCGCUGUUGUCUAACGGCAGUAAACUCGACAUCUCACAGGUUACUGGAUAUAACUACACCUGUGUUAUCAGAAGCAGUCUGGGAACAUCUGUGGCAUCAUAUCUGACAUUAAAACAUACUGAAGAAUUGAAGGCGUGUUGUUCUUCUUACAGUGGACUGAUUACUGUUAGUAUUUUACUAGCACUCAUCUCCUGUGUGGCUGGUGGGUUUUACAUAAGAAAACGCUGUCAAAAUUCAUCAGUU
Non-coding RNA from Misgurnus anguillicaudatus (oriental weatherfish), 350 nucleotides. The record is from RefSeq and is a predicted model, not a curated record. NCBI's taxonomy places the organism in Eukaryota, Metazoa, Chordata, Actinopteri, Cypriniformes, Cobitidae.